Molecule: long non-coding RNA, 1061 nt
Organism: Nerophis lumbriciformis (worm pipefish)
Lineage: Eukaryota; Metazoa; Chordata; Actinopteri; Syngnathiformes; Syngnathidae
Source: RefSeq, a predicted model, not a curated record
UCCGGCGGGAAACUUGGACGGGGGGGGGGGAAGAGAGCGGAAGUGUGCCGACGUACCGCGUGGUCAUCGUCAAUGCUUUGGCAACGUCAUGGCGGCAUUUUCUUCUAUACGUCAUCUAAUCUAUGCACUUAUAGAUGAAUCAUUAUCAUUAUUAACAACGAUUAAACGUUAAUAUUUAGGCACUAAACCUAAUUUGAUUAGACUUAGACUUCCUUUUUAUUGUCAUUCAAAUUUGAACUUUACAGGACAGAUAAGAACGACAUUUCGUUACAUAAGCUCAUGGCAGUGCGGCAGGGCCGGCCCGUGGCAUAGGCCGUAUAGGCAAAUGCUAAGGGCGCCGUCCAUCACGGGGCGCCACGCCAGUGCCACAAAUGUUGGAGAGAAAAAAAAAAAAAAGUUGGUACUAUUAUUUCUAAAUACAAAAAAUAAUCCCACGUUAAUUAAAAUGCAAAGUAAAGCCUAUAUAAUAGAAAUAUUAUUUGUUACAAUAUUACGCCCCUCCCCUCGCACGGUGCGCCCCCUCCCUUCCCGUAUCAUGACUCUUUUUGGACGUCACCACAUCAAAAAAUCAACACAAGAUGUCAAAACGGCCAAAACUGUCAGGUGCCCAGGGAAGAAAAAAAGAGAAAAGAAGAGGAGGAGAAACGAGAAAAAGACAGAGAUAGCAGACUCUUGAGAGAAUCUUCUACGUCCUGACGGGACUAAAGUAGAACGUUCUGGAAGGACCUGGACCACUUGCUGUAACCCAUGGAACCAUGGAUUCUGCUCUUUACCAGGAAAUCCCGGAGGAGGCUGCUGGACCAUCAGUUUGUGAAGAGUACUAGGGUUCUGCAGCAGGACAACUAGCAAGUCAGCUUCUGAACGGCUUUCAAACAAAAGGAAGGUUUUGGAGCAGCCGAGUCAAAGUCUGGACUUGAAUCCCAUUAAAAUGUUGUGAAAUGACCAUCAAAUGUUGUUCUACUGGAAAUCUCUCCAGUGUUGCUGAGUGAAAACUAUUCUGCAAGGAAGUGUGGGAGAUGUGAGACUCAUCAUGAGUUUCAGUUGUGGUCCAACCACGUCUU